GGGUUGUGAGGUUAAGCGACUAAGCGUACACGGUGGAUGCCCUGGCAGUCAGAGGCGAUGAAGGACGUGCUAAUCUGCGAAAAGCGCCGGCGAGGUGAUAUGAACCUUUGACCCGGCGAUGUCCGAAUGGGGAAACCCAGUGUGUUCCGACACACUAUCGUUAACUGAAUACAUAGGUUAACGAGGCGAACCGGGGGAACUGAAACAUCUAAGUACCCCGAGGAAAAGAAAUCAACCGAGAUUCCCCCAGUAGCGGCGAGCGAACGGGGAGCAGCCCAGAGUCCGAAUCAGCUUGUGUGUUAGUGGAAGCGUCUGGAAAGUCGCACGGUACAGGGUGACAGUCCCGUACACGAAAACGCACAGGCUGUGAACUCGAAGAGUAGGGCGGGACACGUGGUAUCCUGUCUGAAUAUGGGGGGACCAUCCUCCAAGGCUAAAUACUCCUGACUGACCGAUAGUGAACCAGUACCGUGAGGGAAAGGCGAAAAGAACCCCGGCGAGGGGAGUGAAAAAGAACCUGAAACCGUGUACGUACAAGCAGUGGGAGCACCUUCGUGGUGUGACUGCGUACCUUUUGUAUAAUGGGUCAGCGACUUAUAUUCUGUAGCAAGGUUAACCGUAUAGGGGAGCCGAAGGGAAACCGAGUCUUAACUGGGCGUUAAGUUGCAGGGUAUAGACCCGAAACCCGGUGAUCUAGCCAUGGGCAGGUUGAAGGUUGGGUAACACUAACUGGAGGACCGAACCGACUAAUGUUGAAAAAUUAGCGGAUGACUUGUGGCUGGGGGUGAAAGGCCAAUCAAACCGGGAGAUAGCUGGUUCUCCCCGAAAGCUAUUUAGGUAGCGCCUCGUGAACUCAUCUUCGGGGGUAGAGCACUGUUUCGGCUAGGGGGCCAUCCCGGCUUACCAACCCGAUGCAAACUACGAAUACCGAAGAAUGUUAUCACGGGAGACACACGGCGGGUGCUAACGUCCGUCGUGAAGAGGGAAACAACCCAGACCGCCAGCUAAGGUCCCAAAGUCAUGGUUAAGUGGGAAACGAUGUGGGAAGGCACAGACAGCCAGGAUGUUGGCUUAGAAGCAGCCAUCAUUUAAAGAAAGCGUAAUAGCUCACUGGUCGAGUCGGCCUGCGCGGAAGAUGUAACGGGGCUAAACCAUGCACCGAAGCUGCGGCAGCGACGCUUAUGCGUUGUUGGGUAGGGGAGCGUUCUGUAAGCCGUUGAAGGUGUGCUGUGAGGCAUGCUGGAGGUAUCAGAAGUGCGAAUGCUGACAUAAGUAACGAUAAAGCGGGUGAAAAGCCCGCUCGCCGGAAGACCAAGGGUUCCUGUCCAACGUUAAUCGGGGCAGGGUGAGUCGACCCCUAAGGCGAGGCCGAAAGGCGUAGUCGAUGGGAAACAGGUUAAUAUUCCUGUACUUGGUGUUACUGCGAAGGGGGACGGAGAAGGCUAUGUUAGCCGGGCGACGGUUGUCCCGGUUUAAGCAUGUAGGCGGAGGUUCCAGGUAAAUCCGGUAUCUUAUAACGCUGAGGUGUGAUGACGAGGCACUACGGUGCUGAAGUAACAAAUGCCCUGCUUCCAGGAAAAGCCUCUAAGCAUCAGGUAACAUCAAAUCGUACCCCAAACCGACACAGGUGGUCAGGUAGAGAAUACCAAGGCGCUUGAGAGAACUCGGGUGAAGGAACUAGGCAAAAUGGUGCCGUAACUUCGGGAGAAGGCACGCUGAUAUGUAGGUGAAGCCCCUGCGGGUGGAGCUGAAAUCAGUCGAAGAUACCAGCUGGCUGCAACUGUUUAUUAAAAACACAGCACUGUGCAAACACGAAAGUGGACGUAUACGGUGUGACGCCUGCCCGGUGCCGGAAGGUUAAUUGAUGGGGUUAGCGGUAACGCGAAGCUCUUGAUCGAAGCCCCGGUAAACGGCGGCCGUAACUAUAACGGUCCUAAGGUAGCGAAAUUCCUUGUCGGGUAAGUUCCGACCUGCACGAAUGGCGUAAUGAUGGCCAGGCUGUCUCCACCCGAGACUCAGUGAAAUUGAACUCGCUGUGAAGAUGCAGUGUACCCGCGGCAAGACGGAAAGACCCCGUGAACCUUUACUAUAGCUUGACACUGAACACUGGUCCUUGAUGUGUAGGAUAGGUGGGAGGCUUUGAAGUGUGGACGCCAGUCUGCAUGGAGCCGUCCUUGAAAUACCACCCUUUAAUGGCUGGUGUUCUAACGUAGACCCGUGAUCCGGGUUGCGGACAGUGUCUGGUGGGUAGUUUGACUGGGGCGGUCUCCUCCCAAAGAGUAACGGAGGAGCACGAAGGUUAGCUAAUCCUGGUCGGACAUCAGGAGGUUAGUGCAAUGGCAUAAGCUAGCUUGACUGCGAGAGUGACGGCUCGAGCAGGUGCGAAAGCAGGUCAUAGUGAUCCGGUGGUUCUGAAUGGAAGGGCCAUCGCUCAACGGAUAAAAGGUACUCCGGGGAUAACAGGCUGAUACCGCCCAAGAGUUCAUAUCGACGGCGGUGUUUGGCACCUCGAUGUCGGCUCAUCACAUCCUGGGGCUGAAGUAGGUCCCAAGGGUAUGGCUGUUCGCCAUUUAAAGUGGUACGCGAGCUGGGUUUAGAACGUCGUGAGACAGUUCGGUCCCUAUCUGCCGUGGGCGCUGGAGAAUUGAGGGGGCUGCUCCUAGUACGAGAGGACCGGAGUGGACGCAUCACUGGUGUUCGGGUUGUCAUGCCAAUGGCACUGCCCGGUAGCUAAAUGCGGAAAAGAUAAGUGCUGAAAGCAUCUAAGCACGAAACUUGCCCCGAGAUGAGUUCUCCCUGAGACUUUAAGUCUCCUGAAGGAACGUUGAAGACGACGACGUUGAUAGGUCGGGUGUGUAAGCGCAGCGAUGCGUUGAGCUAACCGAUACUAAUGAACCGUGAGGCUUAACCUUACAACGCCGAAG
This 2924-nucleotide ribosomal RNA is filed under the name Enterobacter roggenkampii. RNAcentral describes it as "23S ribosomal RNA". It matches the Rfam family "Bacterial large subunit ribosomal RNA". Lineage: Bacteria; Pseudomonadati; Pseudomonadota; Gammaproteobacteria; Enterobacterales; Enterobacteriaceae. The record is from RNAcentral.